This 132-nucleotide microRNA precursor is filed under the name Calypte anna (Anna's hummingbird). RNAcentral's name for it is "MIR480 microRNA precursor family". It matches the Rfam family "MIR480 microRNA precursor family". Lineage: Eukaryota; Metazoa; Chordata; Aves; Apodiformes; Trochilidae. The record is from Rfam by way of RNAcentral.
UCACCUGUGUCUGUAAAGGACUGAAUAUCGUAGGUCAGAUCAACACUUAAAUUUUCAGAAUUUUCCGUUUUCUUAAACACCAACCCAAUCACCCACAUAGUACGAUAUUCUUCCCUGUAAAUUUUUAUGGCA